RNAcentral lists this ribosomal RNA (481 nucleotides) under uncultured bacterium. RNAcentral describes it as "partial 16S ribosomal RNA". It matches the Rfam family "Bacterial small subunit ribosomal RNA", at positions 28 to 507 of the family's 1533-position model. The record is from RNAcentral.
GAUGAACGCUGGCGGCGUGCUUAACACAUGCAAGUCGAACGAAGCAUUUAGGACAGAUUACUUCGGUUUGAAGUUCUUUAUGACUGAGUGGCGGACGGGUGAGUAACGCGUGGGUAACCUGCCUUGUACUGGGGGAUAGCAGCUGGAAACGGCUGGUAAUACCGCAUAAGCGCACAAUGUUGCAUGACAUGGUGUGAAAAACUCCGGUGGUAUAAGAUGGACCCGCGUCUGAUUAGCUAGUUGGUGAGAUAACAGCCCACCAAGGCGACGAUCAGUAGCCGACCUGAGAGGGUGACCGGCCACAUUGGGACUGAGACACGGCCCAGACUCCUACGGGAAGCAGCAGUGGGGAAUAUUGCACAAUGGAGGAAACUCUGAUGCAGCGACGCCGCGUGAGUGAAGAAGUAAUUCGUUAUGUAAAGCUCUAUCAGCAGGGAAGAUAGUGACGGUACCUGACUAAGAAGCUCCGGCUAAAUACGUG